Long non-coding RNA from Lolium rigidum, 356 nucleotides. RefSeq lists it as uncharacterized. The record is from RefSeq and is a predicted model, not a curated record. The transcript has 3 exons. NCBI's taxonomy places the organism in Eukaryota, Viridiplantae, Streptophyta, Magnoliopsida, Poales, Poaceae.
CCUUCCAGCUUUGCUUGAACGGGAUGGCCUGAUACUAAAGAUGGAUGACUUCAAGCUUCCCGCUACAUGGAACUUUAAGUACAGGAGAAUUUGUGAAGUCCCAUAGUCUCGAGGCAGGAUACACACUCAUCAUCUACAAAAGCCUGGAGUCCUGAAAAUUUUUGGCAUGUGAUUUUGGGAUACAGAAGAAUUUCAGAAGAAUACUCACCAAGCCUCCCGAUUCGGUCGUCACCGCCUUAGCUAUGUCCCUGCAUGAUUUCCCUGGCCGACGUGGGGUGUCAGACAUUAGGAUGCGACGCCGGCGACACGAGUCACUUAGGGGAGAACCCAUCAGCAGGCGCAGGCUUCUGGUGUCC